CAAUGGUAACGGAAUCGCUAACCGC
Molecule: non-coding RNA, 25 nt
Filed under: Arabidopsis thaliana (thale cress)
Lineage: Eukaryota; Viridiplantae; Streptophyta; Magnoliopsida; Brassicales; Brassicaceae
Source: RNAcentral